This 611-nucleotide unclassified non-coding RNA is filed under the name uncultured fungus. RNAcentral describes it as "sequence contains ITS1, 5.8S rRNA gene and ITS2". The stretch from base 236 to 389 matches the Rfam family "5.8S ribosomal RNA". Lineage: Eukaryota; Fungi. The record is from RNAcentral.
CUUGGUCAUUUAGAGGAAGUAAAAGUCGUAACAAGGCCUCCGUUGGUGAACCAGCGGAGGGAUCAUUACAGAGUUGCAAAACUCCCUAAACCAUUGUGAACGUUACCUAAACCGUUGCUUCGGCGGGCGGCCCGGGUCCUUCCCGGCGCCCCCCGGCCCUCGCGGGCGCCCGCCGGAGGUAAACCAAACUAUUGCAUUAAUGGCCUCUCUGAGUCUUCUGUACUGAAUAAGUCAAAACUUUCAACAACGGAUCUCUUGGUUCUGGCAUCGAUGAAGAACGCAACAAAAUGCGAUAAGUAAUGUGAAUUGCAGAAUUCAGUGAAUCAUCGAGUCUUUGAACGCACAUUGCGCCCGCCAGUAUUCUGGCGGGCAUGCCUGUUCGAGCGUCAUUUCAACCCUCAAGCCCCCGGGUUUGGUGUUGGGGAUCGGGCUGUACUCCAGCCCGGCCCCGAAAUCUAGUGGCGGUCUCGCUGCAGCCUCCAUUGCGUAGUAGCUAACACCUCGCAACUGGAACGCGGCGCGGCCAAGCCGUUAAACCCCCAACUUCUGAAUGUUGACCUCGGAUCAGGUAGGAAUACCCGCUGAACUUAAGCAUAUCAAUAAGCGGAGGA